UGGAUCCAGACUUUGAUUAUGGCUCAGGAUGAACGCUAGCUACAGGCUUAACACAUGCAAGUCGAAGGGAAACGGCAUCGAAAGCUUGCUUUUGAUGGGCGUCGACCGGCGCACGGGUGAGUAACGCGUAUCCAACCUGCCCACCACUUGGGGAUAACCUUGCGAAAGUAAGACUAAUACCCAAUGACGUCUCUAGAAGACAUCUGAAAGAGAUUAAGGAUUUAUCGGUGAUGGAUGGGGAUGCGUCUGAUUAGCUCGUUGGCGGGGUAACGGCCCACCAAGGCGACGAUCAGUAGGGGUUCUGAGAGGAAGGUCCCCCACAUUGGAACUGAGACACGUCCAAACUCCUACGGGAGGCAGCAGUGAGGAAUAUUGGUCAAUGGGCGAGAGCCUGAACCAGCCAAGUAGCGUGCAGGAUGACGGCCCUAUGGGUUGUAAACUGCUUUUACAAGGGAAUAAAGUGAGUCUCGUGAGACUUUUUGCAUGUACCUUAUGAAUAAGGACCGGCUAAUUCCGUGCCAGCAGCCGCGGUAAUACGGAAGGUCCGGGCGUUAUCCGGAUUUAUUGGGUUUAAAGGGAGCGUAGGCCGGAGAUUAAGCGUGUUGUGAAAUGUAGACGCUCAACGUCUGCACUGCAGCGCGAACUGGUUUCCUGGAGUACGCACAAAGUGGGCGGAAUUCGUGGUGUAGCGGUGAAAUGCUUAGAUAUCACGAAGAACUCCGAUUGCGAAGGCAGCUCACUGGAGCGCAACUGACGCUGAAGCUCGAAAGUGCGGGUAUCGAACAGGAUUAGAUACCCUGGUAGUCCGCACGGUAAACGAUGGAUGCCCGCUGUUGGUCUGAACAGGUCAGCGGCCAAGCGAAAGCAUUAAGCAUCCCACCUGGGGAGUACGCCGGCAACGGUGCAACUCAAAUGAAUUGACGGA
Molecule: ribosomal RNA, 925 nt
Filed under: uncultured bacterium
Lineage: Bacteria
Description: bacterial SSU rRNA
Rfam family: Bacterial small subunit ribosomal RNA
Source: RNAcentral